AGCUGCAUGACACAAGCCAUGCCAUGGUGACAUAUUGGCCACGCAUCAUGACGGUCAUCAUAAGGCCUAAGGAAGUUUGGAGGGGCGUAGUUAGCCUUCUGUAACAGCUGCAAAAUCACCAACCUAAAAUCACCCGUUAAAAAUCGCUUUUAAAAUCUUCUUACCGCUGAGCUCCCGGAAAUCUAAAAUCUUCCCGGCGAUUUCGCCGUCCCGGCACCCAAGCCGACAGCCAUCAUUUUUACCCGUGCCCGUAAUUUUUGCCGCAUGACGUCACCAGACGCCGCGCGCGUGCUCCGACCGCGUGCCGCAAAUGCCGCCGGUCUCUCUCUUUUUCUUUCUCUUUUUCCCCUCCCCUUUUCUUUUGCUUUUUCCUUCUUCCUUUCUUUUUCUUCUUUCUUCUUCCUCCUUCCUUCUUCUCUCUCCUCCUUCCUUCUUCUUCCUG
RNAcentral lists this long non-coding RNA (442 nucleotides) under Setaria viridis. Its description in RNAcentral is "long non-coding RNA (SVIR_LNC004854)". Lineage: Eukaryota; Viridiplantae; Streptophyta; Magnoliopsida; Poales; Poaceae. The record is from RNAcentral.